This is a long non-coding RNA of Lagopus leucura (white-tailed ptarmigan), 899 nucleotides long. RefSeq lists it as uncharacterized. Lineage: Eukaryota; Metazoa; Chordata; Aves; Galliformes; Phasianidae. The transcript has 4 exons. The record is from RefSeq and is a predicted model, not a curated record.
UGGAGAUCCCUCCAUGGUGAAGCUUUCCCCUGUGAACCUUGAAUCUUCUGAUACAACUAUCUUUAUUCAAAGGGAGGGAGCUCCUUGAAUGGAUGUGGGGGAUAACUGAUCCUGCAUAGCUGAUUAGCGCACACACUUGCUUACCCUACUCAGGAAUAAAGUGCAGUUGAUCAGCUGAGGCCAGUGCUGGAGAUCUGUGCUUUCCAGCAUGACAUCAAGCAAACCUGAGUGUGCGAGCUGCUUGCCAGCAGAGUGCUCUCCCAAGGGAAGGAAAGGUGGAAGCUGAAACACUGCAAACGGGGCUGCAGGGAACAGCCUGCACUGGCCAGGAGACAGACAGCAUGAGCUAAUAGAUAUCUAUUGGUGAAAGGAAAUUGAAGAAAAAUCACACCUGAAACAGAGAAACCCAGAGCGAGAGACGCAGCUCUGCUGUACACAGGAAAGCUCAGAGCAUCACCAGCCCAAGAAAUGCCCUGGCUGUGUUCAUACCCAGCACAAGGCUACGUGAAGGGGAGAUGCCCUCAGCUUUCAGGAUGGGAGAUGCUGCAGAUCCUCAGGAUGUUUUGGGGUGCUGCAGUGGGACAGGAGCUGCAGAGCCAGCAUGAGGUUCUGCGGGGUGGUGCAGCGAGGUGGGGGGAAGCUGUCUGUGCACGAGGACUGCAAUAUUGAGACAGAGGCUUGGCUGUUGCACUUCUUAUGCAGUCAUGCUGCAGCUUAGCAAAAGGAACUUCUAUUAUUUUUAUGAUCAAUUUAGUUCUGCCUGUUGAGAAGGAGAGUGAUGCCCUGCACUGCUGCUUGCGGCGGGCAGCACUGCCCUCUAGUGCGGCUGUAUCUGUUGGCUGAAUGCUGGGGUUGGUGUUUUUUUUAUGUUUCUGGUUUCUUUCCUUGUUUUUGGUUUU